GAUGAACGCUGGCGGUGUGCCUAAUACAUGCAAGUCGAGCGAACAGACGAGGAGCUUGCUCCUCUGACGUUAGCGGCGGACGGGUGAGUAACACGUGGAUAACCUACCUAUAAGACUGGGAUAACUUCGGGAAACCGGAGCUAAUACCGGAUAAUAUAUUGAACCGCAUGGUUCAAUAGUGAAAGACGGUUUUGCUGUCACUUAUAGAUGGAUCCGCGCCGCAUUAGCUAGUUGGUAAGGUAACGGCUUACCAAGGCAACGAUGCGUAGCCGACCUGAGAGGGUGAUCGGCCACACUGGAACUGAGACACGGUCCAGACUCCUACGGGAGGCAGCAGUAGGGAAUCUUCCGCAAUGGGCGAAAGCCUGACGGAGCAACGCCGCGUGAGUGAUGAAGGUCUUCGGAUCGUAAAACUCUGUUAUUAGGGAAGAACAAAUGUGUAAGUAACUACGCACGUCUUGACGGUACCUAAUCAGAAAGCCACGGCUAACUACGUG
This 497-nucleotide ribosomal RNA is filed under the name uncultured bacterium. RNAcentral describes it as "partial 16S ribosomal RNA". It matches the Rfam family "Bacterial small subunit ribosomal RNA", at positions 28 to 507 of the family's 1533-position model. The record is from RNAcentral.